CGCGGGGUGAAGCACCCCGGUAGCUCGUCAGGCUCAUAACCUGAAGGUCGCAGGUUCAAAUCCUGCCCCCGCAACCA
This 77-nucleotide transfer RNA is filed under the name Nitratireductor sp. RNAcentral describes it as "tRNA-Met". It matches the Rfam family "tRNA". Rfam says of the family: Transfer RNA (tRNA) molecules are approximately 80 nucleotides in length. Lineage: Bacteria; Pseudomonadati; Pseudomonadota; Alphaproteobacteria; Hyphomicrobiales; Phyllobacteriaceae. The record is from RNAcentral.